CCCCUAAGCUGUUACAUCGUCU
Molecule: microRNA, 22 nt
Filed under: Heliconius melpomene (postman butterfly)
Lineage: Eukaryota; Metazoa; Arthropoda; Insecta; Lepidoptera; Nymphalidae
Description: Hme-Mir-2756_3p* (star (passenger))
Source: RNAcentral